This 148-nucleotide non-coding RNA is filed under the name Pan paniscus (pygmy chimpanzee). Lineage: Eukaryota; Metazoa; Chordata; Mammalia; Primates; Hominidae. RNAcentral also lists the same sequence under 1 other name. The record is from Rfam by way of RNAcentral.
GCUGGGUGUGGUGGUGGGCACCUGUAGUCCCAGCUACUUGGGAGGCUGAGGCAGGAGAAUCGCUUGAACCCAGGAGGCAGAGGUUGCGGUGAGCCGAGAUCGCACCACUGCACUCCAGCCUGGGUGACAGAGCGAGACUCUGUCUCAA